RNAcentral lists this ribosomal RNA (445 nucleotides) under Escherichia coli. RNAcentral describes it as "bacterial SSU rRNA". It matches the Rfam family "Bacterial small subunit ribosomal RNA", at positions 37 to 474 of the family's 1533-position model. The record is from RNAcentral. Lineage: Bacteria; Pseudomonadati; Pseudomonadota; Gammaproteobacteria; Enterobacterales; Enterobacteriaceae.
UGGGGAUUGUCCUUAAUACAUUGCAAGUCGAACGGUAACAGGAAUCAGCUUGCUGAUUCGCUGACGAUUUUUGCGGACGGGUGAGUAAUGUCUGGGAAACUGCCUGAUGGAGGGGGAUAACUACUGGAAACGGUAGCUAAUACCGCAUAACGUCGCAAGACCAAAGAGGGGGACCUUCGGGCCUCUUGCCAUCGGAUGUGCCCAGAUGGGAUUAGCUAGUAGGUGGGGUAACGGCUCACCUAGGCGACGAUCCCUAGCUGGUCUGAGAGGAUGACCAGCCACACUGGAACUGAGACACGGUCCAGACUCCUACGGGAGGCAGCAGUGGGGAAUAUUGCACAAUGGGCGCAAGCCUGAUGCAGCCAUGCCGCGUGUAUGAAGAAGGCCUUCGGGUUGUAAAGUACUUUCAGCGGGGAGGAAGGGAGUAAAGUUAAUACCUUUGCUC